CGUGGAGGAAGACAGCCUUCGGUUGUAACUCGUUUGCGUCUGACAAUCAUGAUGGUAGGGCGCGAAUAAGUCACGGCUAACUACGUGU
RNAcentral lists this ribosomal RNA (88 nucleotides) under uncultured bacterium. RNAcentral's name for it is "partial 16S ribosomal RNA". The record is from RNAcentral.